This is a long non-coding RNA of Nicotiana attenuata, 651 nucleotides long. RefSeq lists it as uncharacterized. The record is from RefSeq and is a predicted model, not a curated record. The transcript is spliced from 2 exons. NCBI's taxonomy places the organism in Eukaryota, Viridiplantae, Streptophyta, Magnoliopsida, Solanales, Solanaceae.
AGCGCCGCUUGACACAAAAAACGACCCCCCUGAUCGUCUUCUUCAUCUUCCUCGCCCCACACGACCCCUUUCCUCUUGACCACUGAACUUCAGCCUCCAAUUACCCAACGACCACCCACUGAGCUGAGCAACCCAACAGUCGACAAAUACAAAAGAAUAAGAUCGAAGAUGCUUAUUUCUGCCUCUUCAUUCCCUUUUCGAUUUUGAAAAUAAAGAAAACAGAACCAAAAAUAUACAAACGAAAGUAUUUUGCUGCUUCCUCUUCUCAGUUUCAAUUUUCGUUCUCAAAUUAUGGAAUGUGAUUGAGUGGUGGUCGUGUUCGAGUUCGAGUCCAGCGCCGAUUGAGGUGUUUGUCCGUAGUUCCAGUUGCGGCUGACGAUCUCGGAGUCAACUCUGUAUGAUUUUGCGGUGUAACUCAAAACUUGGAGGGUUUUUUUUUCAAAUUCGUGAGUAUUAAAGGAAGAUUGUUCUUCAGUUCUGGUUCGAAUGAAGGGCCUUGUAUGAUGACAAUUGAGGACGGUUUGCUAAUCUUAUGGCUAGUUGUUCUUGUAUUUUUUUAUGUUAAAGAUUGAGGAAUCUGUAUCUAUAUACACCUCUUGUUCGUUUGCUAAUGUAAAUUUAAUUGUCCAAGAAAGCUUACAUCUUACUCCA